Capsicum annuum is the source of this 3960-nucleotide long non-coding RNA. RefSeq lists it as uncharacterized. The record is from RefSeq and is a predicted model, not a curated record. The transcript has 3 exons. NCBI's taxonomy places the organism in Eukaryota, Viridiplantae, Streptophyta, Magnoliopsida, Solanales, Solanaceae.
ACUUUGAUGGGGUGUCCGAGAUUCGUUCGGAGUUUGAUACAUGCAAACAAACUAUACAAUUAUACUAAAUUUGAUAUUCCAAAAGCGUCGGUGAUAUCAUAUUUUCAAAAAACAUAGUUUUCACAGAUUUAGCUCCUGAAACUAAUAGCUACUGAAAUUAAUUCUUUAGAAUUCUGAAGUUAGUUUCGAGCUGUGAAAAUUUUCAGGUGAAGUUACCUUCUAAUCUUUUUGGGUUAAGUGAUCUCACUUACAUUGAGGACAAGUAUUAAGGCUUCUCAACUGAAGAUCUAUUAAAUGUAUUGUCUUUUCUUAGGAGCCACCAAGGCCAUUCACACAGGCAUUCUGACACAAAGAUUUGGGGGCAGAAACAGUAGUAGUAAUGUUACAGGUCGAACCCUUCAAGUUGGUCCAUCUAGCAGAGAUCGAGUCGACGAUAUGUAAUCUGAAGCCUGAGUUAUGACAUGUGCUGCGGAUGCUUCUGUUUAUGGCCCUGACUUUUAGCCAAUAAGUAUGGCUCUCGCAUAAUUAAGGUAAAUCACUUAAAAUUGAUUUCAGAUCCAAAAUAGGUGCAACUCCAAUUUGUUUGAUUGCUUCCUAGGUACUGAACAUAGCUCUUCAAAUAUUCAAUGAACUUGGUUCGUUUGCACUAAGAGUAUGGCUUGACCGGUUGAAUGGGGAUCUUGAUCGGAAAAUGAGAUUGUGUGCCAUUGAGCUUAGGCAGAAUUUCACCAGAUUGGGUCCUACAUUUGUUAAAAUCGGUCAGGGUUUAUCCACCAGGUUUGAUUUAUACCCACCCGAGUACGUACCUUGAGGAUCUCUCCGAGCUGCAGGUACUUUCUCUCUCAUUCCUUUCUUCCUUCCUCUAUACUGAAUGUGUCCUAAUAUUUUCUUGUGAAAAUUUCCGCUGAUUUCCAUUAUAAACAAAAUUUUAACUUACUUAGUAGAGUACACUGUGGUGCUGAUAGCUGGGCAGACUAAGAUGGUUUUGCAUGGGUUGAGCAAAAAUGGGUUAAGUAAAACCCAAAUGGCCCAUAUUUCAUACAAGCUGAAAACUCGCAGAUUGAUGCAAGUGUCAAACCACAUUUUCUUAUAAUAUUUUGCCAAAAUCAUUUCGUGCAUUAGAAUCCAUGCUAUUCUUUAUGUCUAACUAUGAAAUAAUGUUGUUAAACACUACUAAUAAAUCUAAGAGGCAAGCAUUUACUUAACAUAACAUUUUGUAAAUCAACUGAUGGUCUUUUGGAAACAAUCUCUCUACUUCAUGGAGAUUGCAAGCUCAUUUUUCAAGAAUUCUUUUUUUCUUGCAUAUCGGUGUUAUCAAAAUCAAAAAGUGCGAAAAAGCUCCAAGGUCCAUUGGGUCUUUAAGCGCAAAUAAAACAUAGGCUUUAAUGAAAAAGGUGCAAAGGGAAAGGAGAUACAAACAUAUAUGUUAAGUCCAAAACUAAUAAUUAUAGGCAUGAAUGACAAAUAAAUUGAAAAAAUAUUAUGAUAAGGUGAAAUAUCAAUUGUUUAGUAUCGCCUUUUCAUAAGUGUCUCAUUUGAAAUGAAAAGUAUGUUGUUGAAUCUUGAUGAAUAUACUGAAGCAUACAUUAAGUGAGGCAAAACAUUCAACACGUUUUAAGCCCCACUUCAAGGCUUAGCGCACUUUUGAUAACCCGGUUGCAUACAUCUUCAAUAUAUCUGACUUGUUGUAUUAGAUAUGAUCUCUACGGUUGGAUUUAGAAACAAAUGGAUGCCCCUGUUUAUUUGAUGCUCUAUAAACUAAAAGGAUAAUUAUGCCUAAAUACAACUGUGGACAGUUACUCGGAGUAUUUCUAGCUUAAUCAAUUGGUUCAGACUGACACUUAUUUAUACAACAACAUCAACAUCAUACCCAGUGUAAUUUCAGUGGUGUUGGUGAGGUUAGAAUGUACAGAGCCCUUAUCCUUACCUCGUGUAACGUACCCUUGCUUGGUGGGUCUUUCAUUAAUCAGUUUUAAAAUAGUUGUGAGCCUGUGAUGAAGAUCUGGAGAUGUUGUUCACUCGAUUCUCUGACAUGAUUAUGCUAUUUCUAGAUUUAACCUUGGUAAGAGGAGAGAGAUGCAAAGAGAAUAAUGUGAUUAUUCUAAGAGAGCUCAGACCUGAUCUAUUAUCAAAUUGGGUCUAAAAUGGUUUUCUAACAUCCAGAUUAUGGUAUACGUUUUCAACCUAUAGUUCACCCAUUUUUAGUAUGGUUUAGUUGGGUUGAGCUCAUAUUUGACCCAAUCCAUGAAUAAUUGCGCGGGUUGGGCGUUUCAUUAGUAAAAGUUGGAAGUUACUCUAACCAUGAUUUGUUUAUCAAGGACAUAACAUCAAGGAAAUGAGGGAGGAGAUAGCCAUAAUAGUCACUAAUAUGAACAAUGAAACGGGAAGAUUCAGAGAUACUGAUACUUUUAAGUGUCAGGUGUCCUUCAUGCUUCGCCGGGGGUCUUUCGGAAACAGCCUUUCUACUUCAUCAGAGGUAGAGGUAGAGGUAUGGACUGCGUACAUCUUACCCCCCCAGACCCCACUAAGUGGGAAUACACUGGGUUUGUUGUUGUUGUGUCCUUCAUGCUUCAUUGAUGCAAUACGUAUCUCAUACUUCCUUAUCAUUUGAUUGCUCUAUUAUAUGAAAGGUUGCAACUCACCCAUCAAAGUCCUUCUUGUAUCGAGGAUGAAGUGUCUUUUGGAGAGCAUCAUAUUUUGUAGGUUUCUCUCCUUUUUUUUUGGUUUAGCACUUGUAUAUGGCCAAGUUGGCCUUGUUAUUAUUAAUGUAAUCUUAUAUUUGUUUUUUUUUUUAAAGGUUGUAGUACACUAGGCAAUGCUUUGAUUACUGAAGUAUUAGUUACUAACUAUUUAUCAUUUCCCUUUGUAUUUUUAUAUCGGGUCCAUUGACUUUCUACUAAAAACCUUGAGAUACAACUUGUUAUCAGCGUAUAGUGUUUCUGACUGAAUUACAAACUGUGAUUGCCCAAAACAAACUUAACUUUUUUAACAAACGAGCAGGAUGCUUUGACAACAUUUCCAGAUGCACAAGCAUUUUCAUGCAUUGAGAAAGAGUUGGGUCCUCCGCUUGAUACCAUCCACUCAGUUAUAUCUGCAUCACCUAUUGUUUCAGCAAGUGUUGGUCAAGUUAAUAAAGCUCAACUCAAGUACUGCAGGGGGUAAACAAAAACUUCAGACUGAGUGGAAAGAUAGAAAGGAAGUACGAUUCUCUAGGAAAAAGCUGUAUGAUGAAAGUAUAUGAUGUUGGGCCCGUGCUAAGAACGGGCCAUAUAAAUAUAGAGAGAGAGAAGGGGAGAGAGGAUACUUCAGAAACUUAAGUAAUUAUGUGUAUAGACUUUAGUGUUAUUUAAAAAUUAAAAGUUAUAAUGGAGGAUCUGUAACUAAAAGUGGAUCAAGAAAUCAAAGAACUUAAUCACACAAAUUGAAAUUCCUUGACUCAAGAACAACAACUAAUUUUUGUGACGAAAAAAGUGAUUAAAUAAUUCUGUAGAGAAAUAAAAAAAGAAAAAGAUAAAAAAAGAUAAAUAAGAGUUAUGAUCAUAGCCUAAGAAAUGUGUUACCUCAUCACUUAUAUGUCUUGUUUUAUUAUAUUUAUAGAUCACUAUAAACACUUGUCAUACCUUCAAAAAUAAAAUAACUCAAAUUCAACCACAUAUUAAUCAAGUUAAAGUUAAUCCGAACAUCGUAAUUAUCACAAAAAACACUCAAAAAAUGACAAUUCAAGUACUUUACUAUUUCAGUUUUAAAUCAUUCAAUUAGGAGAAGCCUUAAACGAAAAUCAAUAACGCAACAUGUUCAAUUAAAAUUAAUGAAAUAGGAAAUAAAGACAAAAGAAAGUAGGAAUAAUUAAUAUUGUAAUUUUAAGCAUUUCUAAUUAAAAGAAAAAAACCUUAGAUACAUAUCUAAAACACAAAGAUCAAUAGCAUAACAUAUCUAACUAAAAUUAAUGAAAUAGGAAAU